Molecule: long non-coding RNA, 1113 nt
Filed under: Equus asinus (donkey)
Lineage: Eukaryota; Metazoa; Chordata; Mammalia; Perissodactyla; Equidae
Description: lncRNA (ENSEASG00005025344.1)
Source: RNAcentral
AAAAAAUUUAUGAGGCAUGUAAGUAACAGGAAAAUAGAACCCACACACCAUGGAAAAAAAGAGGUGACAGAAACUGCCUGUGGAAAUGACCAGAUAUCAGAUUUCACAGAAAAAGACUUCAAAAUACCCAUUAUAAAAAUGUCCAAGUAUGAAGACAUUCACAGGUGAACAAAAACUGAGAGAAUUCAUCACUACAGACCUGCCCUCCGAGAUAUACUACAGGAAGUUCCUCAAGCUCACUUACAAGGACACCAGACACCAACUCAAAUCUACAUGAAGAAAUAACAUCAAUAAAGCUGCACCAAAAUAAAGUUACAUCUUACACAGAUGGCUUCUUUGAGUCAAUGAAAUAUGACAUGACAGAAGUGGCAUUGCAGAUUACUGGGAAAAAGGAGAAGGAUACACACAGCAGCCAGGAUUGCAAACUAAAACCCCACGGGCAAUGACUGCGACAAACUAGAUGACAAGAUCCCACAAACCCUGAAACCCCAGUGGAUGGAGACACACCCACGAGACCUGCAGCCGCCGCCGCUGUGUCAGAGGAAGCUGGAGGGAGUAAUGGCCCUCCUCACAAACCUAAGGACCCCAGAUAACGACAGUGAGUCACGGAAAAGCCAGCGGGCCAAUCGGAGAAGGGCGCCCGUCGCCAGGAGGGAUCUGCGUACUCCGCCAGCAGCUGGGGACAAGGGGCGGACCCGGCCUAGGAAACCCUCAGAACUGACCAGCCCAGGCUCCCAUCCAGGACGAACCCCAACUGAGGAGUAACUUCUGGAAGAGAAUCCAAAUGGAGCAGGUCAGGAAAAGAGAGAAAAGAAAAAAAGAGGCUCCCCAUAAAAGUACAGAACGGAGUCAGAAGAUGUCUAAGUGAGGUGCCAUAGUUCUUUACUACUUAACAAAAACAGCAGAGAGGGCGCUGUGAAGUUGUGACAUCAUAACCACUCUUCAGUUAGACCUCCUGUGUGAAAGUCCCGGAAAUCUAAUCUCAUGUACACAUAAGUAACAGAAAAGGAUUGAAGUCAAAUCCCACACCGUUAUUCAAGGAAAAAGUAAGGAGAGUAACAUCCCUGCAGACAAUAAAAGCAGGUCAGGGAAACGCACAGGUGCAAACUGUCG